This 681-nucleotide ribosomal RNA is filed under the name Bacillus sp. (in: firmicutes). RNAcentral describes it as "bacterial SSU rRNA". It matches the Rfam family "Bacterial small subunit ribosomal RNA", at positions 56 to 720 of the family's 1533-position model. The record is from RNAcentral. Lineage: Bacteria; Bacillati; Bacillota; Bacilli; Caryophanales; Bacillaceae.
UGCAGUCGAGCGGACAGAUGGGAGCUUGCUCCCUGAUGUUAGCGGCGGACGGGUGAGUAACACGUGGGUAACCUGCCUGUAAGACUGGGAUAACUCCGGGAAACCGGGGCUAAUACCGGAUGGUUGUUUGAACCGCAUGGUUCAAACAUAAAAGGUGGCUUUGGCUACCACUUACAGAUGGACCCGCGGCGCAUUAGCUAGUUGGUGAGGUAACGGCUCACCAAGGCGACGAUGCGUAGCCGACCUGAGAGGGUGAUCGGCCACACUGGGACUGAGACACGGCCCAGACUCCUACGGGAGGCAGCAGUAGGGAAUCUUCCGCAAUGGACGAAAGUCUGACGGAGCAACGCCGCGUGAGUGAUGAAGGUUUUCGGAUCGUAAAGCUCUGUUGUUAGGGAAGAACAAGUACCGUUCGAAUAGGGCGGUACCUUGACGGUACCUAACCAGAAAGCCACGGCUAACUACGUGCCAGCAGCCGCGGUAAUACGUAGGUGGCAAGCGUUGUCCGGAAUUAUUGGGCGUAAAGGGCUCGCAGGCGGUUUCUUAAGUCUGAUGUGAAAGCCCCCGGCUCAACCGGGGAGGGUCAUUGGAAACUGGGGAACUUGAGUGGANAAAANGAGAGUGGAAUUCCACGUGGAGCGGUGAAAUGCAUACAGAUGUNGAGGAACACCCCUGCCGAGA